This 68-nucleotide transfer RNA is filed under the name Alaria americana. RNAcentral describes it as "tRNA-Gln". Lineage: Eukaryota; Metazoa; Platyhelminthes; Trematoda; Diplostomida; Diplostomidae. The record is from RNAcentral.
UGUAGUCUGGUGUUAUUUAGUGCAUUCUUUGUUUUGGUCAAAGAGGGGAUAUUUGGUUUCGGCUAUAA